CCUACGGGAGGCAGCAGUGGGGAAUAUUGGACAAUGGGGGGAACCCUGAUCCAGCCAUGCCGCGUGUGUGAAGAAGGCCCUCGGGUUGUAAAGCACUUUCAGUGAGGAAGAACGCCUGGUGGUUAAUACCCAUCAGGAAAGACAACACUCACAGAAGAAGCACCGGCUAACUCCGUGCCAGCAGCCGCGGUAAUACGGAGGGUGCGAGCGUUAAUCGGAAUUACUGGGCGUAAAGCGCGCGUAGGUGGCUUGAUAAGCCGGUUGUGAAAGCCCCGGGCUCAACCUGGGAACGGCAUCCGGAACUGUCAAGCUAGAGUGCAGGAGAGGAAGGUAGAAUUCCCGGUGUAGCGGUGAAAUGCGUAGAGAUCGGGAGGAAUACCAGUGGCGAAGGCGGCCUUCUGGACUGACACUGACACUGAGGUGCGAAAGCGUGGGUAGCAAACAGGAUUAGAUACCCUAGUAGUC
This 465-nucleotide ribosomal RNA is filed under the name Vreelandella stevensii. RNAcentral's name for it is "partial 16S ribosomal RNA". It matches the Rfam family "Bacterial small subunit ribosomal RNA", at positions 338 to 795 of the family's 1533-position model. Lineage: Bacteria; Pseudomonadati; Pseudomonadota; Gammaproteobacteria; Oceanospirillales; Halomonadaceae. The record is from RNAcentral.